RNAcentral lists this unclassified non-coding RNA (338 nucleotides) under soil metagenome. RNAcentral describes it as "partial contains 5.8S ribosomal RNA, internal transcribed spacer 2, and large subunit ribosomal RNA". The stretch from base 1 to 120 matches the Rfam family "5.8S ribosomal RNA", at positions 35 to 154 of the family's 154-position model. The record is from RNAcentral.
GAUGAAGAACGUAGCGAAAUGCGAUAAGUAAUGUGAAUUGCAGAAUUCAGUGAAUCAUCGAAUCUUUGAACGCACAUUGCGCCCGCCAGUAUUCUGGCGGGCAUGCCUGUCCGAGCGUCAUUUCAACCAUCAAGCCCCCGGGCUUGUGUUGGGGACCUGCGGCUGCCCGCAGGCCCUGAAAACCAGUGGCGGGCUCGCUGUCACACCGAGCGUAGUAGCAAUCACCUCGCUCAGGGCGUGCUGCGGGUUCCGGCCGUUAAACAGCCUUACAAAACCCAAGGUUGACCUCGGAUCAGGUAGGAAGACCCGCUGAACUUAAGCAUAUCAAUAGCGGAGGA